UACAGAGGGUGCGAGCGUUAAUCGGAAUUACUGGGCGUAAAGCGUGCGUAGACGGUUAUUUAAGUCGGAUGUGAAAGCCUCGGGCUCAACCUGGGAAUUGCAUUCGAGACUGAAUAGCUAGGGUGCGGUAGAGGGAAGCGGAAUUUCCGGUGUAGCGGUGAAAUGCGUAGAUAUCGGAAGGAACAUCAGUGGCGAAAGCGGCUUCCUGGACCAGCACCGACGUUCAGGCACGAAAGCCGGGGGAGCAAACAGG
This 253-nucleotide ribosomal RNA is filed under the name uncultured bacterium. RNAcentral's name for it is "partial 16S ribosomal RNA". It matches the Rfam family "Bacterial small subunit ribosomal RNA", at positions 524 to 776 of the family's 1533-position model. The record is from RNAcentral.